GGAGGUAGUGACAAUAAAUCUCAAUACGAAGCCUUUGGUUUUGUAAUUGAAUUGAGAACAAUGUACAAUCGUUAUCGAUAAACAAUUGGAGGGCAAGUCUGGUGCCAGCAGCCGCGGUAAUUCCAGCUCCAAUAGCGUAUAUUAACGUUGUUGCAGUUAAAAAGCUCGUAGUUGAAGUUAAGAUGGUUUGAAGGGGGUGUUAGUAUUCGUACUAUCUGCUCUCUUUAGAUUAUCGACUUCCAGGUAAGCUCAAUAAUCCCUCCGGGGACUAUCGAGCCAGACUGGUCUUUUACUGUGAGAAAAUUAGAGUGUUUAAAGCAGACUUUUUUAGUUUGAAUAGAUUAGCAUGGAAUAAUAAGAUUGGCUUUCAUAGUCGAUUUUUUGGUUUGUUUAUGAAAGCAAGAUUAAUAGGGACAGUUGGGGGUAUUCAUAUUCAAUAGCUAGAGGUGAAAUUCUAUGAUUUAUGGAAGAUGAACAAGUGCGAAAGCA
Molecule: ribosomal RNA, 489 nt
Filed under: Blastocystis sp.
Lineage: Eukaryota; Bigyra; Opalinata; Blastocystidae
Description: SSU rRNA
Rfam family: Eukaryotic small subunit ribosomal RNA
Source: RNAcentral